This is a long non-coding RNA of Canis lupus familiaris (dog), 844 nucleotides long. RefSeq lists it as uncharacterized. NCBI's taxonomy places the organism in Eukaryota, Metazoa, Chordata, Mammalia, Carnivora, Canidae. The record is from RefSeq and is a predicted model, not a curated record. The transcript is spliced from 3 exons.
GCCUGGGGUGUGAGCGGGGAGGAGCUAGUAGUGAGUGCCCCGCCGGCCGAGGCGCCGGGUGGGUUGCAGUCCUAAGGACCUCAGACUCGAUUUGCAGUGAUCCGUGAUUAGUGAUCUGUGAUGUUUCUAUUAUAAUUGUCUUGGAGUGCCGCACACUAUGCCCAUGAAGAAGUCAAAAUAUCGGCAUUAACAGAAGUUUGGAAGAGGUUGAUUCCAACUUUAUGGAUGACAUGAAGGGGCUCAAAACUUCAGUGGGGGAAGUAACCAGAAAUAAAAAGAAAGCUAGAAUUAGAAGUGGAGCUUGAAGAUGGGACUGGAUUGCUGCAAUCUCAUGAUAAGACUAAUGGAUGAGGAAUUGCUCCUUAUGGAUGAGCAGAGAAAGUGGUUUCUUGAGAUGGAAACUACUCCUGGUGAAGAUGCUGUGAAGAUUGUCAAAAUGACAACAAAGGAUUUGGAACAUUACAUAAACUUAGUUGAUAAAGCAGUGGCAGGUUUUGAGAGAACUGACUCCAACUUUUAGAUCUACUGGAAAACCAAAACGCUCAUGGACUCAUUUUAUUGUGAUAUUUGCUUUAUUGUGGUCUGGAAUCUAACCUGCAAUAUCUCUGCAGUACGCCUGUAUAAUAAUGAAAAAGAUGAACAAAAGAAUCUACAAGUAAGAAAUAUGUCUUUUAAAAUGUCUAAGAGGGGCACCUGGGUGGCUCAGUUGGUUUAGCGACCAACUCUUGGUUUCAGCUCAGGUCAUGAUCUCAGGGUCUUGGGAUUUAGCCCUGAGUCAGGCUCCAUGCUCAGCGUGGUGUCUAUUGGAGAUUAUCUCCAUCCCGCGCCCCCCGCCCCCGCGCCC